Non-coding RNA from Pelobates cultripes (western spadefoot toad), 218 nucleotides. NCBI's taxonomy places the organism in Eukaryota, Metazoa, Chordata, Amphibia, Anura, Pelobatidae. The record is from the annotation of a GenBank genome assembly.
AUCCGUGCCCCCCCCCCCGCGCGCUUACUCGGCGCGGGUCGGGGUCGCAACACAUGGCGGCGGGCACCUGGUCGCAGGGGUUGCGACCCCGCGACCGCGGUAUGCACACACACUUAAAGGACCACUACAGACACCCUGAUCACAUCAGCUCAAUUAAGUGGUCUGGGUGCCAGGUCCCUCUAGUUUUAACCCUGCAGCUGAAAACAUAGCCGUUUCAG